RNAcentral lists this ribosomal RNA (465 nucleotides) under Vreelandella stevensii. Its description in RNAcentral is "partial 16S ribosomal RNA". It matches the Rfam family "Bacterial small subunit ribosomal RNA", at positions 338 to 795 of the family's 1533-position model. The record is from RNAcentral. Lineage: Bacteria; Pseudomonadati; Pseudomonadota; Gammaproteobacteria; Oceanospirillales; Halomonadaceae.
CCUACGGGGGGCAGCAGUGGGGAAUAUUGGACAAUGGGGGCAACCCUGAUCCAGCCAUGCCGCGUGUGUGAAGAAGGCCCUCGGGUUGUAAAGCACUUUCAGUGAGGAAGAACGCCUGGUGGUUAUUACCCAUCAGGAAAGACAUCACUCACAGAAGAAGCACCGGCUAACUCCGUGCCAGCAGCCGCGGUAAUACGGAGGGUGCGAGCGUUAAUCGGAAUUACUGGGCGUAAAGCGCGCGUAGGUGGCUUGAUAAGCCGGUUGUGAAAGCCCCGGGCUCAACCUGGGAACGGCAUCCGGAACUGUCAAGCUAGAGUGCAGGAGAGGAAGGUAGAAUUCCCGGUGUAGCGGUGAAAUGCGUAGAGAUCGGGAGGAAUACCAGUGGCGAAGGCGGCCUUCUGGACUGACACUGACACUGAGGUGCGAAAGCGUGGGUAGCAAACAGGAUUAGAUACCCGGGUAGUC